CGAUGUGAGGAUGAUCUGGCUGCGACAUCUAUCACUCCAUUGAUUGCCAGGGUUGACCCGACUGAUCUGGCUGGUUAGGGGGGUGGGAGGGAUCGGGGUGAAGGAGGAGGGGGUGUCCCCCCCUCCUCCUUCACCCCGAUCCCUCCCAAAGCUGCGUGCUGGAAGAGGAGAGGAUGGGUCAAGGGUGUAUGAGUAGCUCCUGGUAGAACCUCCAAGCAAGCUCUCAGAAUAAAGGGGAUGUGAGUUGGCAACACCUGUCUAGAGUAAGCCAGUACUUUGUGGU
RNAcentral lists this small nuclear RNA (283 nucleotides) under Myotis davidii. RNAcentral's name for it is "7SK RNA". It matches the Rfam family "7SK RNA". From Rfam's summary of the family: 7SK was discovered as an abundant small nuclear RNA in the mid-70s but a possible function has only recently been suggested. Two independent studies have found that 7SK RNA binds the CDK9/cyclin T complex (known as elongation factor P-TEFb). The record is from Rfam by way of RNAcentral. Lineage: Eukaryota; Metazoa; Chordata; Mammalia; Chiroptera; Vespertilionidae.